GGGUUUUUCUCUUUCUAAAACCCUUCCGAUUCUCAGAUACCUUCAAUAGCUACUGGGUGUGCUCCGGGGGAGAGUAUGCAUUUUCUACUCAUUUUUGUUUGUUCUCUUGGUGUGUAUACACGGUUCUUGAUGUGGUUAUGUGCAGAUAAUAGAUACCGAUCUUUGUAUGUAUAAUCAUGUGCAAAGGUGGAUUCUUUCUUGUGUGAUCUGUUAGAAUAUAUGUUCUUUCACCUUCAGUUUCGUAGAUUUAUUUUUUGUUUGAUUAUCUUGUUUUGUCUUUUUCUGUUCUUGAUUCUUCUUGAAAAAUUAUUGAUUUGUGUGAUGGAUAGUUCUGUAAUUGUUUUGAUUUUUUAAUUGGUGAUCUAGGGGUUUGUGUUUUAUUAAGGGUUUUUAAUUCUGAUUGUUGCACAUAGAACUAUAUGGUUUUUAGUUUUUCUCUGGUGUCCGUGAUGAUUGUUUGUAGUUCUUGGAUAGCAGUGGUGGAGGUGGUGACUUAAUUAGGGGGAGUGGUAUAAUUAGAUUAGUUUGAUUGACGAAUUUUGUUGCUUGUUUGUAGUUUUCCUUAUAAUUUUGGAUAUUGUUUGGGGAUAUAGUAAUGUAGACCUUAACUUUAGUUUUUUUUGAAUGGCAAGUUUGACAUUUUUAAAAUUCGUUUUUUUAGAAUUUGACUUUUUCUAUGUGUUAUAAUUUGAAUUUUUGUGUCUUCAUUAGAAAAUUAAUUGAUAAUCUUUAAUGUUGAUUUUGUACCUGAAUUCUAUUAUUCAUGGGGGCCAUAAAAGAUGGCUUUAUUGUGCCUUAAUGAGGUAUUAUUGCACCAUUAAUGGUUGACUGUUUAAUUGGUGUAUACCAAAUUUAUAUUUAUCCUAAUAUUGAUGAUUAGUUAAAAUCGUGAUACAUUUGUUUGACAAAAUUUUGUCUUAUAUUUUAGUAGAUAUAUGUUAGCUAUGUUUUAUAUUUUCAAUUAAUUUUCUUAUUUAUAUUUUAAAAAUUUAUUGAGAUAUCAGUUAGUUAUUUUUUGAUGAGAUUUAUUCUUUAUUUUGUAUUAUUUUCUUAUGUAUCUAACCAAAGAGAUCUCAUUAUCUCUUUGGUGUAGAUGUUUUAAUAUUUUGUUUUACAUAAAUUUUAAUUUUAUUUUUCCUAUUUCUUAAAAAUUAUAUCAUAUUCAUUUUAUUUUCUGAUCAUGAGUUGGUUGACUUUUUCCUUUUCGUUUUAAAUAAUUUGAUUAUUUAUUGUAUGUAUGAACUUAUUAUAUUCUUUUAUUUUAUUGUAUUUUUUCAGGACACGCGAGUGGAAGGAAGAAGUGGGACCUUUUAUGGGUGUUUUCUUAUCGAACAUUAAAGAUUUAUUGUCUAAGCGUCCCCGGUCAUCUUUGCAUGUCCGAGGGUUAGAUGGUAAACUUUCUUGAACGAAAGGAACUCCUGGCAGCAGCUUUGUAUUCUGAUACAUUCGUUUAUACGAGAAAGUAUC
This 1467-nucleotide long non-coding RNA is filed under the name Daucus carota (carrot). RNAcentral's name for it is "long non-coding RNA (DCAR_LNC005453)". Lineage: Eukaryota; Viridiplantae; Streptophyta; Magnoliopsida; Apiales; Apiaceae. The record is from RNAcentral.